RNAcentral lists this ribosomal RNA (330 nucleotides) under uncultured bacterium. RNAcentral's name for it is "bacterial SSU rRNA". It matches the Rfam family "Bacterial small subunit ribosomal RNA", at positions 568 to 898 of the family's 1533-position model. The record is from RNAcentral.
UACGCAGGCGGCUGGGUAAGACAGAUGUGAAAUCCCCGGGCUUAACCUGGGAACUGCAUUUGUGACUGCCCGGCUAGAGUCUGUCAGAGGGGGGUGGAAUUCCACGUGUAGCAGUGAAAUGCGUAGAGAUGUGGAGGAACACCGAUGGCGAAGGCAGCCCCCUGGGAUAAGACUGACGCUCAGGUACGAAAGCGUGGGGAGCAAACAGGAUUAGAUACCCUGGUAGUCCACGCCCUAAACGAUGUCGACUAGUUGUUGGGGAUUAACUUCCUCGGUAACGCAGCUAACGCGUGAAGUCGACCGCCUGGGGAGUACGGUCGCAAGAUUAAA